GAUGAACGCUGGCGGCGUGCCUAAUACAUGCAAGUCGAGCGAACAGACGAGGAGCUUGCUCCUCUGACGUUAGUGGCGGACGGGUGAGUAACACGUGGAUAACCUACCUAUAAGACUGGGAUAACUUCGGGAAACCGGAGCUAAUACCGGAUAAUAUAUUGAACCGCAUGGUUCAAUGGUGAAAGACGGUUUUGCUGUCACUUAUAGAUGGAUCCGCGCCGCAUUAGCUAGUUGGUAAGGUAACGGCUUACCAAGGCAACGAUGCGUAGCCGACCUGAGAGGGUGAUCGGCCACACUGGAACUGAGACACGGUCCAGACUCCUACGGGAGGCAGCAGUAGGGAAUCUUCCGCAAUGGGCGAAAGCCUGACGGAGCAACGCCGCGUGAGUGAUGAAGGUCUUCGGAUCGUAAAACUCUGUUAUUAGGGAAGAACAAAUGUGUAAGUAACUAUGCACGUCUUGACGGUACCUAAUCAGAAAGCCACGGCUAACUACGUG
RNAcentral lists this ribosomal RNA (497 nucleotides) under uncultured bacterium. RNAcentral's name for it is "partial 16S ribosomal RNA". It matches the Rfam family "Bacterial small subunit ribosomal RNA", at positions 28 to 507 of the family's 1533-position model. The record is from RNAcentral.